This 491-nucleotide ribosomal RNA is filed under the name uncultured bacterium. RNAcentral's name for it is "partial 16S ribosomal RNA". It matches the Rfam family "Bacterial small subunit ribosomal RNA", at positions 29 to 507 of the family's 1533-position model. The record is from RNAcentral.
AGUGAACGCUGGCGGUAGGCCUAACACAUGCAAGUCGAACGGCAGCACAGUAAGAGCUUGCUCUUACGGGUGGCGAGUGGCGGACGGGUGAGGAAUACAUCGGAAUCUACUUUUUCGUGGGGAUAACGUAGGGAAACUUACGCUAAUACCGCAUACGACCUACGGGUGAAAGCAAGGGAUCUUCGGACCUUGCGCGAUUGAAUGAGCCGAUGUCGGAUUAGCUAGUUGGCGGGGUAAAGGCCCACCAAGGCGACGAUCCGUAGCUGGUCUGAGAGGAUGAUCAGCCACACUGGAACUGAGACACGGUCCAGACUCCUACGGGAGGCAGCAGUGGGGAAUAUUGGACAAUGGGCGCAAGCCUGAUCCAGCCAUACCGCGUGGGUGAAGAAGGCCUUCGGGUUGUAAAGCCCUUUUGUUGGGAAAGAAAAGCAGCAGGUUAAUACCCCGCUGUUCUGACGGUACCCAAAGAAUAAGCACCGGCUAACUUCGUG